Ornithodoros turicata is the source of this 432-nucleotide long non-coding RNA. RefSeq lists it as uncharacterized. The transcript is spliced from 3 exons. Lineage: Eukaryota; Metazoa; Arthropoda; Arachnida; Ixodida; Argasidae. The record is from RefSeq and is a predicted model, not a curated record.
CUCUCACUUCGGAGUUCGGAUGGUGUCUAGCAACGUUGGGUACCUCGUUUCUUGUGUGUGUGAUCGAGUGGUUGCUGUUUACGAUGUGUUCAUAUAUCGCUUUGUACUGCUGUAAUGUGCAAAUUAGCGGACUUUAUAGCGGCUCUCUAUUUUCCGUCGUUGUCUUUCGAGCAGCGCCUGUUGUUCCGGUAAAAAUCGAGUUGAAUGAAUCGCCACAGCCCCAACGUAUAUCGCGCAGUGUUGACCAAGACCAAGUCAAGCAGGAAUUCUGGCAUGGUAUGUGGCUGCACGAAGGAUUCCGGAAAAGAAAAACAACAACAUGGCUAAUAGGAUGUUGCUGCCCAGGGAGUCCUGGCGAAGAGGUUUACUCAUUCCAGAAGCAAGAAUUGUAUCAUUGUAAGGCGAAUGGAAAUAAACUGACAUCGACUGAGA